Molecule: non-coding RNA, 490 nt
Organism: Salmo salar (Atlantic salmon)
Lineage: Eukaryota; Metazoa; Chordata; Actinopteri; Salmoniformes; Salmonidae
Source: RefSeq, a predicted model, not a curated record
UAACUCUACCUGACAUUUCUCUCCAGGUGUGUCGUCCGUACGAUCCAGUCCGUGUCACCGUGGUUACACAGCUUUGGGGGCGGGGACUCUGAGACUGAGGGCGGGGUUAUUCUGUGUGUUUCCUUAUUUGGAUGUGCGGACGUUGCUGCUCGCCGCUGAGGUGUGCUCUGAUUGGGAGUUUGUGGCACGGCACCCAGCCGUCUGGACACGAGUACGACUGGAGAACGCCAGAGUCUCCGCAAAGUUCCUAGUGACCAUGUCUCAGUGGUGUACUCAGACGCAUUCCCUGGUGCUCCAGAACCUCAAACCACGACAGCGGCGCCGAGAUGAACACAGAGAGGACUACGACAAGACCACACGGGGCUGUCUGGAGGGAGGUGUGGAGGCGAUGCUGAGGUCAGCAGGAAGCUGUCUAAUGGUGCUCAGAGUGUCUCACUGUCCUCACAUCCUGACUGACCGCUCCCUGUGGCUGGCCAGCUGCUACUGUAGG